CAUGCAAGUCGAGCGGGCGCUUUCGGGCGUCAGCGGCGGACGGGUUAGUAACGCGUGGGAACGUGCCCUUUGCUCUGGAAUAGCCCUGGGAAACUGGGGGUAAUACCGGAUGUGCCCUGAGGGGGAAAGAUUUAUCGGCAAGGGAUCGGCCCGCGUCUGAUUAGGUAGUUGGUGAGGUAACGGCUCACCAAGCCGACGAUCGGUAGCUGGUUUGAGAGGAUGAUCAGCAACACUGGGACUGAGACACGGCCCAGACUCCUACGGGAGGCAGCAGUGGGGAAUCUUAGACAAUGGGCGCAAGCCUGAUCUAGCCAUGCCGCGUGGGUGAUGAAGGCCUGCGGGUUGUAAAGCCCUUUCGGUGGGGAAGAAAAGUCUCGGCCUAAUACGCUGGGACCUUGACGUAACCCACUAAAGAAGCACCGGCUAACUCUGUGCCAGCAGCCGCGGUAAUACAGAGGGUGCGAGCGUUAAUCGGAAUUACUGGGCGUAAAGCGCGCGUAGGCGGCUUUGUAAGUCGGUUGUGAAAUCCCCGGGCUUAACCUGGGAACUGCAUCCGAGACUGCAUAGCUAGAGUAUGGGAGAGGGAAGUGGAAUUUCAGGUGUAGCGGUGAAAUGCGUAGAUAUCUGAAGGAACAUCAGUGGCGAAAGCGACUUCCUGGACCAAUACUGACGCUCA
RNAcentral lists this ribosomal RNA (676 nucleotides) under uncultured bacterium. RNAcentral describes it as "bacterial SSU rRNA". It matches the Rfam family "Bacterial small subunit ribosomal RNA", at positions 54 to 749 of the family's 1533-position model. The record is from RNAcentral.